UACAGAGGAGCCAAGCGUUGUCCGGAUUGACUGGGCGUAAAGCGCACGCAGGCGGUUGCGCGCGUGGGGUGUCGAAAUCUGGCCGCUUAACGGCCAGGCGCCAUCCCAUACGGCGCGACUGGAGUGAUGCAGAGGUCGAUGGAAUUGCCGGUGUAGUGGUGAAAUGCGUAGAGAUCGGCAGGACACCCAGGGGGAAACCAGUCGACUGGGCAUCUACUGGACGCUGAGGUGCGAGAAGCGUGGGGGAGCGAACCGG
Molecule: ribosomal RNA, 256 nt
Filed under: uncultured bacterium
Lineage: Bacteria
Description: partial 16S ribosomal RNA
Rfam family: Bacterial small subunit ribosomal RNA
Source: RNAcentral